RNAcentral lists this ribosomal RNA (274 nucleotides) under uncultured bacterium. RNAcentral describes it as "partial 16S ribosomal RNA". It matches the Rfam family "Bacterial small subunit ribosomal RNA", at positions 523 to 796 of the family's 1533-position model. The record is from RNAcentral.
AUACGGAGGGUGCAAGCGUUAUUCGGAAUCACUGGGCGUAAAGGGUGCGUAGGCGGUUUGAUAAGUCUGAUGUGAAAUCCUAUGGCUCAACCAUAGAACUGCAUUGGAAACUGUCAGACUAGAAUACUGAAGGGGCAGAUGGAAUUAGUGGUGUAGGGGUAAAAUCCGUAGAUAUCACUAGGAAUACCGAAAGCGAAAGCGAUCUGCUGGGAAGUUAUUGACGCUGAGGCACGAAAGCGUGGGGAGCAAACGGGAUUAGAAACCCCGGUAGUCC